This is a long non-coding RNA of Oreochromis niloticus (Nile tilapia), 6852 nucleotides long. RefSeq lists it as uncharacterized. The record is from RefSeq and is a predicted model, not a curated record. NCBI's taxonomy places the organism in Eukaryota, Metazoa, Chordata, Actinopteri, Cichliformes, Cichlidae. The transcript has 2 exons.
ACAGAAAAGUAUGAGGAGUAUCCAGAGUUCUCCUGGGUCCUGGAUGUGGUCGCCCGAUGUGAUCGAGCUGCAGCGUGAUGGCUGCGUCACAGACGAAGGCGGCUGCGGUUUCUGCCUCAAAGCCUGCUGGGACAGGAAGCGUGUCAGUGGGGGUGGGCGGGGAAAUCGAGGUCAGGCGGUGCUGGAGGUAAGGAUGUACGAUCAGGUGUGGCCUCACAAUCGGUGUGAGAAAACAGAUCAGACGCCUAAAUAUGAAACGUGUGCAGCCGGUGGCACCGCCGCAGUUUUCACGUCACAGAGAUGAGGCCAAAAAUCCGACCUCAGGUGCGUCUGCAGGUGGACACGCCAACAGCUGCACCAGGAGACCCAAAUCAUCUGUGCACUUUCACUUGUUACAGCAAAUAUUAACGAUCAAAGAAAUCUGUUUCACAUUUCACGGCUCUGUUUUUCACCAACAGCCAAACUCAGCUUUUCAUGAGACGUGAACAGAAAGAAUGAAGGACUCCGUGAUCGUGGGCUGUUCUUGUUAGUGUGGAGCAGCUCAAACUUGUAUUUGUGUGAUUUACUAAUUUAUUAUAUCUGCUGUUGACUGUUAAACAUCUCCAUUUAUUUUUAUUUCUGUCUGAUAAUAUCUUUACUGUCACGGGUGAAUUUCAGAUUCUGAAGCAUGAAUGAAAGUCCAGCUCGAAAUGAAAACAGACUUUAGUUCUUCUGCUGUUGUGAUGUCAGAACCUCCUCAGUCGGUGUCACAGGAUCAGAAAUAUUUAUUGUUUCUUUUUUUAAAUUCAUUUUCAAACAUAUGACGAAGCUGCUCCGAUGGAGUCCGACCUUCUCUCAGUUCAGUAUUCAGUGAAAUGCACAUGAGUACAGAUAAUUACUGUGAACACACGUGUACAUUUAUGAUGAUGUUACAACAUGUUAGAAAAUGAAAAUAAAGAAUGCAGUCUUGUGAAUUUUCAGUGCUCAGGGUUUACUGUACCAGGUUAGGUCAGCACUCAUACUGUGUCAGAAACAGGAAACACUUUUCAGGCCAAAGUAAAAGUUUUGCUCCUAAAUCUUCACUAAAAUCCAAACGUUUCAGUAAAAUUUUGCAUAAAUGAAGCUCUUUGUCUUAUUUGGAUAUUUUUCUGUGUUUUGGCCACAGAUGUUUGAGCAGCUUUAAUAAUCACAGCUUAUCUUUGAUGUUAGAAGCUCCACUUUAUAUUAUAUUUGACAUUUUAUUAGAAGGUAAAUAAACAUAAUUCAUGUUUAAAAAACACCUAAAUUAUGGUCAUAAAUAGAAAAUCUAUAUAGUUUCAGUUUCUAAUCCUUUUACUGAGUAAUAUUGGACUUUUAUAACUGGCUGGGCCUUUAAAAUGCAUCAUCUAGCGACGUUACAAAGUUUUAUUUUUAAUAAAGCGUCUGCUUGUUUUAUUUCUUUAAUGUACAAAUAUGUCAGUUAGUCUGAUGAGAAGUUUCAUUAACUAGGACACAUGUUCAGUUUAUUUGUAUUUGUUUCUGUAAUUAUCUGAAAUUAUUUCAUCGCUUCCUUGACUUUGUGUUCAGAUGGUGAAUUUUCCUGAUUCUGCACAUGUAGCUUUGAAAUUAAAAUGAAUUUAGAUAAUGCUUCAAAAAAACCUGAUAAAUUAGAGUCCAUAUGCAUUUGAAGAAGGCUGACAAGUUGUGAGCGACACUUUAGGAGGAUGUUUGAGUUCAUGUGAGAUUUCUGUUUUAUGCACAGCAGCAGUCAGAUCAGUGAGAAGUGCUGAACUGUUUGAUGUCUCGACCAACAGACACAGAAAAAUGCUUCAGGGAUUAUUUUUGUGUUACUUUGUGUAUUUUAUUAGGACUUCCUGUUUCAUCGUGUGUUACACACUGCAGCGGAGCCUCCAUGUUCCCUCAUUGAUAUUAUGAACCCGAUCAGAGCCGUCUGCUGGAAUCUGACCUGCUUCAUGUUUUCUGUGUUUGAGUUUGAAGAAACACAACUUGAUUUAGUAAAAAGCUCCACACAGAAAAUGAACCAACAAAUGUUUCAGACUGGAAGAACUGGUCCCAGAAGAACUGGUCCCAGACGUCACCCUGGGUGCUGCUGGAGGCCCUGCAUGUUUGGAGACCUGGUUCACUCUGGUGUUUCUCUGUUGUCCACUGUCAUCACACAUCUUUCAGUUUCACUCAUCAUUUCAUCAUUGCAUUUGUCCAGUGUGACAUCACUGUCCUUGUGUGUCCUUUGCUUUGUUCUAGAGUCCCUGCAGAUGUUUACAGAUGUCACCAUCAUCGUCCUCAUUAUGAAGAGUGUGACCUUGUUUUUGUGUGUCAGAGACGUGGCUGUAACCACACGAACAUCACCGUGUCUGUUUGUUGGUGGGUUUUAUUUGUUGUUUUUGCAGCUUCACCGCUGACAGGAAGCCAGCAGCAGCAGGGCAGAGCGAGGAAGCGGCGCUGCAGCGGUGGGAGGCUCUGAGGUCGCCUCACAACCUGACAAACAUCCGGCAGCAGACGCGGAAGAAGAAAAACCCGACCUCAGAAUGUUUCCAACACACGUGGUGGAAAAAAGCUGCAGCUGAAGCAGCCUGCACACUUUCAGGAACUUUGUGCCUCUCAAGAAAUAAAAAUAUGUCCAUUUAGAGUCAUUAUAAUACAGGCAAAUAUGCAUUAUGUAUAAUACAUUAGAAUACAGCAACAUCGCUUUCUUCAGUGUGGCAGCAGAGCUCAAGUCUUUUACAGUCACAUGUGUUCUGAUCUGUGCAUCACAUGUUUAUCUGCUGAUUGUUGAGUUAAAGCUUCCACAUAUAAACACUGAAGGAGACAAACAGUAACAACAUGUUAAUAACUGGAUUCAAAAACUCUGAAGAAGCAUCUUCAGGUUUGUGCUGAGAGCAGCAGACGAGACUGAAAGGAACAGAUAAUGUUUGCAGACUGACAGCUGAGCAUGCGUGUAAAACGUGAUCAUUACUGCUCAAACACUGAAUCUGCUGCACAGUUUUUCUCAGACAGAAGAGCCUCACUGAGCUCCAACGGUGUUAUUUCACCUGAUCUGGACCUCAGCUGGUGUUGGGCUGAGUCUGUGUGCAGACCAGAGAGAACGGCAUCAACCAAACCAGGAAACACAGGAAAGAGCCAGAGGUCAGUGCUGAGUGCUGUCAACAUGCUGUGAUCUUUAUUAUUAUAUUGUUUUCAUAUUUGGACUUUACAUGCAGAAUGUAGCGACCAAUCAGGUGCGACUCUCAUCGCUGAUGGAAGCAGAGCAGGAAGCUCGGACGCAACAUGUGAUUGCACACGCUCAGAGUUCUUCCACAUCAAACUGGAAAAGUGUUUCUUUGUUCACGUCUUUAUUAGUGCUGAGUGUGAACAGUGUGACAAACACAUAGUGACUCAUGCAGUCGUUUGGAGCUUUGGUACAAACUCUGUUUGAGCGCGUUGUGAUGUGCGCAGGAACAAACACAGACCGAUGUGUGUGUCUGUCAGCGACCGCUGAAUGUUGCUGCGCAUGUUCACCUAAAACUGUCACUUUGGCUGGAACAGCAAAACUAUUACAGAUAAAGUUAUUGUGAAGCAAUCGAGUCUGGAAAUGUUCCCAUUUAUUAAACCGUCCACAGACAGAUUUACCAAAACAUGCAGUGGGCCGACUCUGGGCCUCUGGCCUUAUGUUUGACACCACACAUUAAAAACUUUAGAAGCAUUUAUGAAGCCUGAACCGUGAAAUAAAUGAAACAUUUAAUUAAUCUUCUGACAUAAAGAAAAUAUAUAAAUAUAUGACAGACGAGACGUGAUGGUUAAACAUGGAAAUAAAUCGACUUCAGUGUUUAUAGCUGAUAUUUAUGCAGCACUUAUUAUUUUUUUCAGAUUCAAAAACAAAAAGAUGAUACAUUAAUAAUACAUUCAUGUAUCUAUUCAUUACGAAUAACUGGAGGAGUGUGUGUCUGUAUGGACUGGUUUGCUGUGACGGAGCUGUGGGGAUUUUUGGGUGGAGGCUUUAAGGUCAUGUUUUUGUUGCUUAAUGUGAGAAACAGUCAAACACCAACGUGUGAGACCAACAGCUCAGUAAAGACUCACAGUUUAAAGAUUAGUCAUGGUUGGAUUAUGGCGGCACAGACGAGCAAACAUGGUUUCAGUCUGAGCUUCUUUUUCAUUCUGACUGAAAGAGUCAGAAGUGAAACUGUCUCUGUGGAACAAACUCUGUGGAACAAACUCCACAACGACAAGUGUGUAAAAAUCUAGAGUUAGACGUGAUUCAAAGCAACAGCUUGUUCUGCUGGUCUGAAUGUUGGACAUCAGAGAACUGAUGAUUAGUUUAUGAUUAUAACAACAUUAAUGCAUCAUUAGUCUGUAAACCUUACACAGUAUCUAUGUUACGGCUGUUUAUUGCAGCAUAGAUCUAAUAUCAUAUUUCUUCACAUGAUUUUGCACUGAGAGCCUGACUGUCUACACUGCAGCUGCAGCAGUGCUGUGAGGGUCCUGUAGGUGGCGCAGUGCUUUGCCUGUUGGGUGGAGCACCAGCACCAUCGUGUGGCCCUUAUAUAAACUGCAACACAAAGUCAGCUCUGAACAAACGUUUCUUUGCGGUGACGUAAUAAAGUCAUUCAGCAGUAACUAGACGAGGACAUGUUGAGAGACACAUUUAUCAGCUUCGUCUCACAGCUUGGAUCAAAACGCCUUUAAAAUCAUUUCAGUAUUAAAGCUGCUCCUUUCAACGUCCCAGUUUCAUUUCCAGGUGGUGUUUUUAUUUAUUUUUAAAAAAAUGAAAUUAUGAGACGCAGUUUCAAAGUGCAUCAAAGCGUUCUGAGUUUGGACAUGAAGACAGGACACAGACGUGGUUAAUGACAACACCUCACACACUUGCUACAGUUCCUGCAGCCACACAGAUCUCACUGAUGCUCUGCUGGAGUCUUCUCUAACACUGGAUGCAUUUAUAAGGACAACAACAUCCUGCCUAAAAUAAACUAAUGCAGGUGAACAACAAUUUUGAGGAGCGUAUCAGGUCACAUUUCACUGCCUGUUGUACUCGUAUAACUAUGCACGUGACAAAUAAACAAUCUUGAAACUUGAAUUUUUGUUGUCAUGUUUUGGAAUUAGUUCUGCUGUUUCCAUCAUUUCCUUUCUGUUUUUUGUUAGUCUUCUUCACUUGUUCUCAGCCGGUCCCUCGCUCUGGACACUCGCCAGUUUCCUCCUGUCUCUGUUCUUUGUUCUCACACAGGUCCUGAUGUCCACUGUGGAGCCUUCUCAGUGAUUUUGUGGUGUAAGUUUGUGUUUGCUGUCUUGAUGCAUGUUCAAUCCUCCAGGUAUGGAAAUCCCAGAAAGUUGAUUCUGUUCAUGUGGACGUAGAGAAACAUUUCAUCACUUAUCCAAGUGACUCCUUCAGUCUGCAGGUUGGAUGUUACAUAUUUAUGAUCAUGAAACUGACCUGACUGUUAGUCAGAGGUGCUUGUGUCAGUCCUGAUGUAAAUGUGCUGUUAAUAAGGUUGGAGAGCUGCAGGCAGCUGAGGCUGAAGUUGGAUGAAGGAUGAAACGUUGGUCCAUCCAGACCAACAGAAUCACAUUUCUGGAGUUUGUGUUUGAUGGUUUCUGUUUUUCUGUUGUUUCUAUUGUUGCUAGUUUAUUCUCUUUGUUGCUGAACUUUGCCUGAUUUUAUUUUAUGUCUUUAUUUGCAAUAAACAUUUGUGGACUUUCAGAUUUGAUCUUGAGUUACUUUGAGUUAAUACCUAACAGGAGUAAAUGUAUUUUCUUGAGCGUCUAUUUUAAAACUGUGGUACGUUUUACACUAAAUUUGAAGCUUUAUUGUCAUUCAGCUGUUUGACCUGAUGUGACUGUAAGACAGUUUUUAGGUGAUGAUAUUUGCAGCCUGCCAUGAAUCAACAGGUCAAACAGCUGAAUGAAGUAGAAUAAAUAUAAAAAUUAAUAUUAAAAACAAAAUACAGAAAUAUAUUGAUAUAAAUAACAGAUGUGUGCUGUGUGUCAGUCUGGGUGGUGUUGCAUUAAUGUAGUGCAGCCUCCUCCUGGAGGCCAGGCGAGUAAACAGUACAUGUGCAGGGUGGGGGAGGAGGUAGGAUACAGGUGGCUCUUUCUCUGCACCUGACGGUGUAGAUGUCCCUGAUGGACGUUAAGCUGCACCUGAUAGUCCUCUGCAGACUUUACGAACCCCCAACCCCCUCAGUGCAGCUGUAGAAGGACCCGAGGACACCAACAUCCAGUCCAGCGCUGUUCAGCCUCCUCAGGAAACAGAGGUGGUGGUCGACUUCUUUAUAAGACUCGUGAUGUUGAUGCAGGUGAUGGUGUUAGUCAGGUGAACCCGAGGUACCUGACAGAGGAGCUGCUCCAUCUAUGUCGAGAGGAGGAUUAUACAUUAAAACAUUUUAGCCAUCUUUAAAUUAAGACUUUUACAAACAUGGUGUGUUAGAGUGAAUUGUUAAUGUUUGUCAUUUUUAUGCUUACCAUCCAUUCCUACAUUGUUUAACUGUGGGAUGAAAGCAGUUCCACAGUCCCCCUCCCCAGAUUCUUGAGUUUUUGGGUGAGGGGCUGUAGUCUUUUAUUGUAGAUACAUCCUAUCUGAAAGGUCUGUUUGAUGUAAGCUUCCUGCCCAGCAGGAGGUCUCUCUCUCUCUCUCUCUCUCUCACACACACACACACACACACACACACACACACACACACACACACACACACAUAUAUACAUACAGUGCCUCGUCUUUGUAACCAAGGGGGGUUAAGAGGGGAGGUACGUGUUGUAAACUAUUGUGUGAACUGUAACAGUUUGUCAAUAAAUAGCUGCGAGGGAAGCUGCUCUUUGAAGGACUUUGGGCUGGAGACAGGUUAGGAGCGUGAGCUCCAAGAGCUGGUUCUUGACCAAAGGCCUCCCUUGCGCAAGUAAUCGAUCGAA